UCGGUAGUAAUACCGAUGGGUGGCGAGUGGCGGACGGGUGAGUAAUAUGUAGGAACUUGCCUUCGUUAGGGGGAUAACACGGGGAAACUCGUGCUAAUACCGCAUAAAGUCGAGAGACCAAAGUAGGGGACCGCAAGGCCUUACGAACGAAGAGAGGCCUACAUCGGAUUAGCUAGUUGGUUAGGUAAAGGCUGACCAAGGCGACGAUCCGUAGCUGGUCUGAGAGGACGAUCAGCCACACUGGGACUGAGACACGGCCCAGACUCCUACGGGAGGCAGCAGUGGGGAAUUUUGGACAAUGGGGGCAACCCUGAUCCAGCAAUGCCGCGUGUGUGAAGAAGGCCUGCGGGUUGUAAAGCACUUUAGGUGGGGAGGAAGGUCAUUUAGUUAAUAACUAAGUGAAUUGACGUUACCCACAGAAUAAGCACCGGCUAACUCUGUGCCAGCAGCCGCGGUAAUACAGAGGGUGCAAGCGUUAAUCGGAAUUACUGGGCGUAAAGCGCCUGUAGGUGGUUAGAUAAGUUUGAUGUGAAAGCCCUGGGCUUAACCUGGGAAUCGCGUUGAAUACUGUAAGACUAGAGUCGGAUAGAGGGUCGUGGAAUUUCCGGUGUAGCGGUGAAAUGCGUAGAUAUCGGAAAGAACAUCGGUGGCGAAGGCGGCGACCUGGGUCCAGACUGACACUGAGGGGCGAAAGCGUGGGGAGCAAACAGGAUUAGAUACCCUGGUAGUCCACGCUGUAAACGAUGAGAACUGGCUGUGUGGUGGGCUUGACCUACUGCGUAGCGAAGCUAACGCGUUAAGUUCUCCGCCUGGGGAGUACGGUCGC
RNAcentral lists this ribosomal RNA (826 nucleotides) under uncultured Pseudomonadota bacterium. Its description in RNAcentral is "bacterial SSU rRNA". It matches the Rfam family "Bacterial small subunit ribosomal RNA", at positions 73 to 889 of the family's 1533-position model. Lineage: Bacteria; Pseudomonadati; Pseudomonadota. The record is from RNAcentral.